RNAcentral lists this ribosomal RNA (636 nucleotides) under uncultured bacterium. RNAcentral describes it as "bacterial SSU rRNA". The stretch from base 1 to 544 matches the Rfam family "Bacterial small subunit ribosomal RNA", at positions 338 to 873 of the family's 1533-position model. The record is from RNAcentral.
CCUACGGGAGGCAGCAGUGGGGAAUAUUGGACAAUGGGCGCAAGCCUGAUCCAGCCAUGCCGCGUGUGUGAAGAAGGCCUUCGGGUUGUAAAGCACUUUUAUCCGGAAAGAAAAGCUUUGGGUUAAUACCCUGAAGUCAUGACGGUACCGGAAGAAUAAGCACCGGCUAACUUCGUGCCAGCAGCCGCGGUAAUACGAAGGGUGCAAGCGUUACUCGGAAUUACUGGGCGUAAAGCGUGCGUAGGUGGUUUGUUAAGUCUGAUGUGAAAGCCCUAGGCUCAACCUGGGAAUUGCAUUGGAUACUGGCAGGCUAGAGUGCGGUAGAGGAUAGUGGAAUUCCCGGUGUAGCAGUGAAAUGCGUAGAGAUCGGGAGGAACAUCUGUGGCGAAGGCGACUAUCUGGGCCAGCACUGACACUGAGGCACGAAAGCGUGGGGAGCAAACAGGAUUAGAUACCCUGGUAGUCCACGCCCUAAACGAUGCGAACUGGAUGUUGGGUGCAACUAGGCACUCAGUAUCGAAGCUAACGCGUUAAGUUCGCCGCCUGGGGGAGGUACGGUCGCGAGACGAGAAACGUACAAAUAGAAGUUAGUACGGACGUGAGACGNGCCGACGGACGACGACGAGGGGAGGAGGG